GACCGAGGGUGCAAACGUUGUUCGGAAUUACUGGGCGUAAAGCGUGCGCAGGCGGUUGUGUAAGACAGAUGUGAAAUCCCCGGGCUUAACCUGGGAAUGGCAUUUGGGACUGCAAGGCUUGAGUGCGGCAGAGGAGACUGGAAUUCCUGGUGUAGCAGUGAAAUGCGUAGAUAUCAGGAGGAACACCGAUGGCGAAGGCAGGUCUCUGGGCUGACACUGACGCUCAUGCACGAAAGCGUGGGGAGCAAACAGG
Molecule: ribosomal RNA, 253 nt
Filed under: uncultured bacterium
Lineage: Bacteria
Description: partial 16S ribosomal RNA
Rfam family: Bacterial small subunit ribosomal RNA
Source: RNAcentral